Molecule: non-coding RNA, 679 nt
Organism: Labrus bergylta (ballan wrasse)
Lineage: Eukaryota; Metazoa; Chordata; Actinopteri; Labriformes; Labridae
Source: RefSeq, a predicted model, not a curated record
CACAGUUAUACUCCAACACUGAACAAUAAACUCUCAGUCUGUUUGAUGGUCAUCAUGUUUCAUCCAAACCAAGCAGCUCUGCUCUCCUUAUUAUUUAUGCACGGGGUCUUUGCAGAUGAAGAAGGCAACCACAAGAAUGAAGAGGUGUCCAGAGGAGGCUCUGUCAUUUUUACUUGCAACACAUCAAGAGAAAAUACAAAACAAAUCAACUGGAGCAAAGGCAGAUUUCGUUUUUCUCAUUUAAUGAAAGGAAAUGUGACUGUUUCAAAUUUCACCUCUGACAGACUGACAAUAGAUCUAUCCUCAAAGCUGAUUAUUUCUAAUGCUCAGGAAGAUGAUGAAGGACUAUAUACAUGUAAUUUAACUGAAUCUUCAGGGUCAACGACUUAUCGGUGGAAUUUAACCGUGUCUGACAAACCUGAAGAGGAGAAGUCAUCGGGGUAUUUCCUAUACAUACUCACAGCUGGGAUCGGAGUGGUACUGUGUUGCAUCAUUUCAGCCACAUGCCUCUGUAGGUGAGUAAAACGUUCUCUUUCUAAGCCUGUGAGUAAAUUAGUUUUUUUCUUUCUGCUGCUUUGUUUCAGAAUUAAUUGAUGUGGUUCUAAACACAGACAUCCUUUUUCUGCUGUACACAUUUAAACAUGUCACUUCAUUUCAGUUACAGAUGUGAUCACUCUGA